CAGACUUUGAUCAUGGCUCAGGAUGAACGCUAGCUACAGGCUUAACACAUGCAAGUCGAGGGGCAGCAUGAACUUAGCUUGCUAAGUUUGAUGGCGACCGGCGCGCGGGUGAGUAACACGUAUCCAACCUGCCGAUGACUCGGGGAUAGCCUUUCGAAAGAAAGAUUAAUACCCGAUGGCAUAGUUCUUCCGCAUGGUAGAACUAGUAAAGAACUUCGGUCAUCGAUGGGGAUGCGUUCCAUUAGGUUGUUGGCGGGGUAACGGCCCACCAAGCCUUCGAUGGAUAGGGGUUCUGAGAGGAAGGCCCCCCACAUUGGAACUGAGACACGGUCCAAACUCCUACGGGAGGCAGCAGUGAGGAAUAUUGGUCAAUGGACGAGAGUCUGAACCAGCCAAGUAGCGUGAAGGAUGACUGCCCUAUGGGUUGUAAACUUCUUUUAUACGGGAAUAAAGUGAGGCACGUGUGCCUUUUUGUAUGUACCGUAUGAAUAAGGAUCGGCUAACUCCGUGCCAGCAGCCGCGGUAAUACGGAGGAUCCGAGCGUUAUCCGGAUUUAUUGGGUUUAAAGGGAGCGUAGGCGGACGCUUAAGUCAGUUGUGAAAGUUUGCGGCUCAACCGUAAAAUUGCAGUUGAUACUGGGUGUCUUGAGUACAGUAGAGGCAGGCGGAAUUCGUGGUGUAGCGGUGAAAUGCUUAGAUAUCACGAAGAACUCCGAUUGCGAAGGCAGCCUGCUGGACUGUAACUGACGCUGAUGCUCGAAAGUGUGGGUAUCAAACAGGAUUAGAUACCCUGGUAGUCCACACAGUAAACGAUGAAUACUCGCUGUUUGCGAUAUACAGUAAGCGGCCAAGCGAAAGCGUUAAGUAUUCCACCUGGGGAGUACGCCGGCAACGGUGCAACUCAAAGGAAUUGACGGCGCGCCGCGCACCAC
This 931-nucleotide ribosomal RNA is filed under the name uncultured bacterium. RNAcentral describes it as "bacterial SSU rRNA". It matches the Rfam family "Bacterial small subunit ribosomal RNA", at positions 8 to 931 of the family's 1533-position model. The record is from RNAcentral.